GACGAACGCUGGCGGCGUGCUUAACACAUGCAAGUCGAACGGAAAGGCCCUGCUUUUGUGGGGUGCUCGAGUGGCGAACGGGUGAGUAACACGUGAGUAACCUGCCCUUGACUUUGGGAUAACUUCAGGAAACUGGGGCUAAUACCGGAUAGGAGCUCCUGCUGCAUGGUGGGGGUUGGAAAGUUUCGGCGGUUGGGGAUGGACUCGCGGCUUAUCAGCUUGUUGGUGGGGUAGUGGCUUACCAAGGCUUUGACGGGUAGCCGGCCUGAGAGGGUGACCGGCCACAUUGGGACUGAGAUACGGCCCAGACUCCUAAGGGAGACAGCAGUGGGGAAUAUUGCACAAUGGGCGGAAGCCUGAUGCAGCAACGCCGCGUGCGGGAUGACGGCCUUCGGGUUGUAAACCGCUUUCGCCUGUGACGAAGCGUGAGUGACGGUAAUGGGUAAAGAAGCACCGGCUAACUACGUG
RNAcentral lists this ribosomal RNA (468 nucleotides) under uncultured bacterium. RNAcentral's name for it is "partial 16S ribosomal RNA". It matches the Rfam family "Bacterial small subunit ribosomal RNA", at positions 28 to 507 of the family's 1533-position model. The record is from RNAcentral.